UGAGGAAUAUUGGUCAAUGGACGGAAGUCUGAACCAGCCAAGUAGCGUGCAGGAUGACGGCCCUAUGGGUUGUAAACUGCUUUUGUAUGGGGAUAAAGUUAGGGACGUGUCCCUAUUUGCAGGUACCAUACGAAUAAGGACCGGCUAAUUCCGUGCCAGCAGCCGCGGUAAUACGGAAGGUCCAGGCGUUAUCCGGAUUUAUUGGGUUUAAAGGGAGCGUAGGCUGGAGAUUAAGUGUGUUGUGAAAUGUAGACGCUCAACGUCUGAAUUGCAGCGCAUACUGGUUUCCUUGAGUACGCACAACGUUGGCGGAAUUCGUCGUGUAGCGGUGAAAUGCUUAGAUAUGACGAAGAACUCCGAUUGCGAAGGCAGCUGACGGGAGCGCAACUGACGCUUAAGCGCGAAGGUGCGGGUAUCAAAAAGG
RNAcentral lists this ribosomal RNA (424 nucleotides) under Verrucomicrobiota bacterium. RNAcentral describes it as "Verrucomicrobia bacterium partial 16S ribosomal RNA". It matches the Rfam family "Bacterial small subunit ribosomal RNA", at positions 355 to 776 of the family's 1533-position model. Lineage: Bacteria; Pseudomonadati; Verrucomicrobiota. The record is from RNAcentral.